This 108-nucleotide ribosomal RNA is filed under the name uncultured bacterium. RNAcentral's name for it is "partial 16S ribosomal RNA". It matches the Rfam family "Bacterial small subunit ribosomal RNA", at positions 249 to 353 of the family's 1533-position model. The record is from RNAcentral.
UUGGUGAGGUAAUGGCUCACCAAGGCGACGAUGCGUAGCCGACCUGAGAGGGUGAUCGGCCACAUUGGGACUGAGACACGGCCCAGACUCCUACGGGAGGCAGCAUUG